Molecule: long non-coding RNA, 428 nt
Filed under: Gossypium barbadense (sea-island cotton)
Lineage: Eukaryota; Viridiplantae; Streptophyta; Magnoliopsida; Malvales; Malvaceae
Description: long non-coding RNA (GBAR_LNC004559)
Source: RNAcentral
AGGAAACUUCGACUACUCCCACAACCUCUGAUGUGGAAACUUCUACCAUUCCUUUAAUGUUGGGUAGGGAUACCAUUCCUACUACUGUGUGUGAGGAAACAACCAUUCCUGCAACCUUAGGUCAAGAAACUUCUACCCUUCCUGCAACCUUGGGUGAAGGAACUCUUAGUUUUCCCUCAACCUCGAGUGAAGAAAAUCAUAGCAUUCCCACUAACCUGGAUGAAGAAACUCCUACUGAUCCAGUGACCUUGGCAGAGGAAAGGCCCAGUAUUCCUGAAACCUUGGGUGAAGAAACCCCAACCGUUCCUCUGACAUUCAGUGAAGAAACUCCGGCUAUUCCUCCAUCAUUCAGCGAAGGAACUACUAUUCCUCCUUCCUUCAAUGAGGGAAGUCCUGUUCCUGUAGCAUUGGGUCCAGAAACUCAGACC